Molecule: ribosomal RNA, 505 nt
Filed under: uncultured bacterium
Lineage: Bacteria
Description: bacterial SSU rRNA
Rfam family: Bacterial small subunit ribosomal RNA
Source: RNAcentral
AUGGCUCAGGAUGAACGCUAGCGGCAGGCUUAACACAUGCAAGUCGAGGGGCAUCGGGAGUAGCAAUACUGCCGGCGACCGGCGCAAGGGUGCGUAACGCGUGAGCAACAUGCCCGUAUCAGGGGGAUAAUCCAUGGAAACGUGGUCUAAUACCCCACAGUAAUUAUGUAAGGCAUCUUAUAUAAUUUAAAGCUUUGGUGGAUACGGAUUGGCUCGCGUGACAUUAGCUGGAUGGUAAGGUAACGGCUUACCAUGGCUACGAUGUCUAGGGGUUCUGAGAGGAAGGUCCCCCCACACUGGAACUGAGACACGGUCCAGACUCCUACGGGAGGCAGCAGUGAGGAAUAUUGGACAAUGGAUGGAAAUCUGAUCCAGCCAUGCCGCGUGCAAGGAAGACGGCCCUAUGGGUUGUAAACUGCUUUUGUAUGGGAGCAAUAAGGGCUACGUGUAGUCCGAUGAGAGUACCAUACGAAUAAGCACCGGCUAACUCCGUGCCAGCAGCCGC